UAGUCUAUAACGCUUAGAUCAUAGCCGCAAAUAGACGGGGAUUUCCCUGUUGGACAUUUUGUUAAAUAUUUCCUUUCAUUUUGUCUCGCCAUUUUUGUUGAUCAGAGCAGAAGCAAUUUGUAAAUCUGUUACUAUAACAACACCACGAUGUCUGAUAUGUCACUUCAACAGAUUGUCAAUCACCAGAGUCUUAAUUUCCACCUCCCUUGUAAUGUACAAAUAGGUGAACACAACAUACAAAAUAAUCCGACUAACCAACUGAAAGAAGAUGUUGACAGGAUGAAGAAUGAGAUACAACAACUCAAGUUGGACAAUCAGAAUCAAGCUGAUAAGAUACAGAAACUCCAAUCAGACAAACAGAAUCAAGCUGACAAAAUACAACAACUUGAGUCAAGGGUUAAAGUUGUGGAAGAUAAAACAGGAGUCAAGAAAGUAAAUAAAAAAAUAAAUAAAGCAGAGGAUGAUAUGAUAACUCUUAAUGUAAGAAAUAUUAUUUACAGUAUUUGCGGUAGUGAGUAUUAUAUGAUGGCUAUAAGUGUUAGUAGAGAUAAAACUAUAAGUGAACUAGAAUCUAUAAUACAGGAGGAGUAUAGAAGGAAGUAUGGUACAGAUGGUGUUUGUUGUAUUUGUAAUAUCUACAGUGUAAAACAGGAGAAGAUCAUCUACCUCUGUAACAUCAACAACAAUGAUCUACCUUUAUCACAUCAUGGUGUAGGUGAUGGUGAUAAAGUCAGAUUUCGAUUCUAGUCUGUUUGAUUAUAUUGAGUUAAUAGUAUUAUAAUUAUAUAGUAUUUACUAUAAAACAAUAUUAAAGAUUAUUAUAUUAUGUAGAAUAUAAGUAUUGUGGUGCUAUAUUGAAUUGUACUAACUAUAAAGCUUGAUCAUUAUUCUUAUAUUAUUAUUAUGGCUGUAUAUAUAUAUAGUGAAGGGAAUCACGUGGCUAAGUGGGUAAGACGCUAGCUCGCUAGCCUGGAGGUCGGGUGUUCGAUCCCUGCAUUGGCCGAGAAAGUUCAUCCAGAUUUUCCGGCGUGGUUCUCCCUUGUCAGUGAUGAAGGACGGAGGGCCUGACAAGAAAAGCUGUCUAGUCGUUCGGAUGGGACGAAAAACCGAGGUCCCGUGUACACUUUGGCGUGCACGUAAAAGAUCCCUUGGCAGUUGGAAUUCGAUAUAAGAGUAGGCCGUAGUGCCGCUGUCCGGGCAAAAUUUCCCUCAUAGCACACUGUAUGGCGUAUGCCCGUCUUCAUUAGCCCAGGUUAGGAGCAGAACAGUAGGACGGUAAACCCCAUUUCAUUUCAUUUCAUAUAUAGUGAAUCACUAUAUAUAUAUAUACAGCCAUAAUAAUAAUAUAAUAAUAACGAUCAUAGCCCUAAUAGUAGUUUAAAUGACAGAUUUAUUAUAUAAUUAUAAAGACUGUGAAUAUAAUAUCAUCAUAGCAUAUUUUAGUAUUUUAUGAUAAACAUAAACGUGUAAUUGAUGACGGAAUAAAAAAAGGCAGAAAGAAAUAUAUGACUUUAUAUAAAUAAUUCUCAAAAUUCAGUAAAAUGCACGAUAGGUGUCCUAAAUGCUUUUGUCCGUACAUGGAUUCGCCAUGUUAACCUAAUUUUUUGAUUUUCAAAUGGAUUACAAUCUGAUGUUUUUCGAGUUGUCUUUAUAUAUUUUACUGGACUAAAUUGUAUCUAGCAUCUGGC
Long non-coding RNA from Patella vulgata (common limpet), 1688 nucleotides. RefSeq lists it as uncharacterized. Lineage: Eukaryota; Metazoa; Mollusca; Gastropoda; Patellidae. The record is from RefSeq and is a predicted model, not a curated record. The transcript is spliced from 3 exons.